This 300-nucleotide ribosomal RNA is filed under the name uncultured Helicobacter sp. RNAcentral describes it as "bacterial SSU rRNA". It matches the Rfam family "Bacterial small subunit ribosomal RNA", at positions 496 to 795 of the family's 1533-position model. The record is from RNAcentral. Lineage: Bacteria; Pseudomonadati; Campylobacterota; Epsilonproteobacteria; Campylobacterales; Helicobacteraceae.
UCGUACCCUGGGGCAGGGGCCGGGGUAAUGCAGGGGGGGGAAGCGUUGUGCGGAAUUACUGGGCGUAAAGGGCGCGUAGGCUGCCCGCUAAGUCGAACGUGAAAUCCCCGAGCUCAACGCGGGAACUGCGUCCGAUACUGGCGGGCUUGAAUCCGGGAGAGGGAUGCGGAAUUCCAGGUGUAGCGGUGAAAUGCGUAGAUAUCUGGAGGAACACCGGUGGCGAAGGCGGCAUCCUGGACCGGUAUUGACGCUGAGGCGCGAAAGCUAGGGGAGCAAACGGGAUUAGAUACCCCGGUAGUC